AAGGAUCAUUACCGAGUUCAUGCCCUCGCGGGUAGAUCUCCCACCCUUUGUAUACUAUACCUUUGUUGCUUUGGCGGGCCGCCUAGCUACUGGCUUCGGCUGGUAAGUGCCCGCCAGAGGACCCAAAACCCUGAAUAUUAGUGUCGUCUGAGUAAAAUUUUAAUAUUUAAAACUUUCAACAACGGAUCUCUUGGCUCUGGCAUCGAUGAAGAACGCAGCGAAAUGCGAUAAGUAAUGUGAAUUGCAGAAUUCAGUGAAUCAUCGAAUCUUUGAACGCACAUUGCGCCCCUUGGUAUUCCGAGGGGCAUGCCUAUUCGAGCGUCAUUAUCACCCCUCAAGCUUCGGCUUGGUGUUGAGGCCUGCUGUAAAGGCACCCUCUAAAAUCAGUGGCAGUGCUGUCAGGCUCUAAGCGUAGUAAUUUUCAUCGCUAUAGGGUCCUGGUGGAUACUCGUCAGAACCCCCCAUUUUUUAAUGAUUGACCUCGGAUUAGGUAGGGAUACCCGCUGAACUUAA
This 513-nucleotide ribosomal RNA is filed under the name Tetracladium marchalianum. Its description in RNAcentral is "eukaryotic LSU rRNA". The stretch from base 171 to 324 matches the Rfam family "5.8S ribosomal RNA". Lineage: Eukaryota; Fungi; Ascomycota; Leotiomycetes; Helotiales. The record is from RNAcentral.